Molecule: ribosomal RNA, 441 nt
Filed under: uncultured bacterium
Lineage: Bacteria
Description: SSU rRNA
Rfam family: Bacterial small subunit ribosomal RNA
Source: RNAcentral
AGAGCGAACGCUGGCGGCAGGCUUAACACAUGCAAGUCGAGCGCCCCGCAAGGGGAGCGGCAGACGGGUGAGUAACGCGUGGGAACGUACCUUUGGUUCGGAACAACACAGGGAAACUUGUGCUAAUACCGGAUAAGCCCUUACGGGGAAAGAUUUAUCGCCGAAAGAUCGGCCCGCGUCUGAUUAGCUAGUUGGUGAGGUAACGGCUCACCAAGGCGACGAUCAGUAGCUGGUCUGAGAGGAUGAUCAGCCACAUUGGGACUGAGACACGGCCCAAACUCCUACGGGAGGCAGCAGUGGGGAAUAUUGGACAAUGGGCGCAAGCCUGAUCCAGCCAUGCCGCGUGAGUGAUGAAGGCCCUAGGGUUGUAAAGCUCUUUUAACGGGGAGAUAAUGACGGUACCGUAGAAUAAGCCCCGGCUAACUUCGUGCCAGCAGCCGC